GUCGACGUAUUAUUAUAGCAUAUAAUACUUUAAGCCGCCAUUGGUAUCAGAAGAUGUAGCUGGAGUACAGGAUGACCGACCCAUAAGCUUCUGAAUAAAUCCACUUA
Molecule: non-coding RNA, 107 nt
Filed under: unclassified sequences
Description: cow-rumen-2 RNA
Rfam family: cow-rumen-2 RNA
About the family: cow rumen metagenome. Environment (Cow rumen (57))
Source: Rfam by way of RNAcentral